CACAUGUGACGUAGUUUGAUCAUGGCUCAGAACGAACGCUGGCGGCAUGCCUAACACAUGCAAGUCGAACGAGACUUCGGUCUAGUGGCGGACGGGUGAGUAACGCGUAGGAACCUGCCAAGCAGUGGGGAAUAACAGCUGGAAACGGCUGCUAAUACCGCAUACGCCCUUCGGGGGAAAGAUUUAUCGCUGUUUGAGGGUCCUGCGUUCGAUUAGCUAGUUGGUGAGGUAACGGCCCACCAAGGCGACGAUCGAUAGCUGGUCUGAGAGGAUGAUCAGCCACACUGGGACUGAGACACGGCCCCGACUCCUACGGGAGGCAGCAGUGGGGAAUAUUGGACAAUGGGGGAAACCCUGAUCCAGCAAUGCCGCGUGCGUGAAGAAGGCCUUAGGGUUGUAAAGCGCUUUCACCUGUGAUGAUGAUGACAGUAGCAGGAGAAGAAGCCCCAGCUAACUCCGUG
RNAcentral lists this ribosomal RNA (461 nucleotides) under uncultured bacterium. Its description in RNAcentral is "bacterial SSU rRNA". It matches the Rfam family "Bacterial small subunit ribosomal RNA", at positions 1 to 507 of the family's 1533-position model. The record is from RNAcentral.